GUAGGUGGCAAGCGUUGUCCGGGAAUUAUUGGGGCGUAAAGCGCGCGCAGGCGGUUCUUUAAGUCUGAUGUGAAAGCCCACAGCUCAACCGUGGAGGGUCAUUGGAAACUGGAGAACUUGAGUACAGAAGAGGAAAGCGGAAUUCCACGUGUAGCGGUGAAAUGCGUAGAGAUGUGGAGGAACACCAGUGGCGAAGGCGGCUUUCUGGUCUGUAACUGACGCUGAGGCGCGAAAGCGUGGGGAGCAAACAGGAUUAGAUACCCUGGUAGUCCACGCCGUAAACGAUGAGUGCUAAGUGUUAGGGGGUUUCCGCCCCUUAGUGCUGCAGCUAACGCAUUAAGCACUCCGCCUGGGGAGUACGGCCGCAAAGGCUGA
RNAcentral lists this ribosomal RNA (375 nucleotides) under uncultured organism. RNAcentral describes it as "partial 16S ribosomal RNA". It matches the Rfam family "Bacterial small subunit ribosomal RNA", at positions 527 to 897 of the family's 1533-position model. The record is from RNAcentral.